AGUGAACGCUGGCGGUAGGCCUAACACAUGCAAGUCGAACGGCAGCACAGUAAGAGCUUGCUCUUACGGGUGGCGAGUGGCGGACGGGUGAGGAAUACAUCGGAAUCUACUUUUUCGUGGGGGAUAACGUAGGGAAACUUACGCUAAUACCGCAUACGACCUACGGGUUAAAGCAGUGGAUCUUCGGACCUUGCGCGAUUGAAUGAGCCGAUGUCGGAUUAGCUAGUUGGCGUGGUAAAGGCCCACCAAGGCGACGAUCCGUAGCUGGUCUGAGAGGAUGAUCAGCCACACUGGAACUGAGACACGGUCCAGACUCCUACGGGAGGCAGCAGUGGGGAAUAUUGGACAAUGGGCGAAAGCCUGAUCCAGCAAUACCGCGUGGGUGAAGAAGGCCUUCGGGUUGUAAAGCCCUUUUGUUGGGAAAGAAAAGCAGCAGGUUAAUACCCCGCUGUUCUGACGGUACCCAAAGAAUAAGCACCGGCUAACUUCGUG
Molecule: ribosomal RNA, 492 nt
Filed under: uncultured bacterium
Lineage: Bacteria
Description: partial 16S ribosomal RNA
Rfam family: Bacterial small subunit ribosomal RNA
Source: RNAcentral